Molecule: transfer RNA, 76 nt
Filed under: Trichonephila inaurata madagascariensis
Lineage: Eukaryota; Metazoa; Arthropoda; Arachnida; Araneae; Nephilidae
Description: tRNA-Asn
Source: RNAcentral
AGCUCCGUGGCGCAACGGCUAGCGCGUUUCGGCUGUUAACCGAAAGGUUGGUGGUUCGGGGGCCCACCCGGGGCGA